CAUAUUUUGUUGCUAUUAAAGGAUGAUUGGAGAGUUGUUGCGGACUGUUUUGUGUGUUUGGGUUGGGAGCUGCCUGGUUUCUAUUAGGAAAAGAUACGUAAUCUAAAAGGGCGGAGAGUCGAGUUGGUUUGGUAUUGGAGUUUUACAACCAGGUGCUUCGGAAAACACGCCUCCUCAGUAGGAGUCUAAGAUAUCCAUCUGUCAUUGGUAAUCGCCAGUUUGCUUUGGGGCUUUCCGAGUCGGUUCUAUAUAUUUUUAGUAUUGUAUAAAAGUUAAUAGCAUGGCGGGGGUUUGUCCCGACCUUAGCUAAGUUCUAUGUAUCGUCUAGAGGCUUUGUAGACCAAUGUAAAGUUAAGCAUGGUAGUGUGUUAUCUUAUAGAUGUUAUGGCCCCAAUGGCCAAGUCUAUUAAGUAUAUAGUUUUAGGGCUUGUCGUUUAUAUUUUUUUUAUU
Long non-coding RNA from Capsicum annuum, 450 nucleotides. RefSeq lists it as uncharacterized. The transcript is spliced from 3 exons. NCBI's taxonomy places the organism in Eukaryota, Viridiplantae, Streptophyta, Magnoliopsida, Solanales, Solanaceae. The record is from RefSeq and is a predicted model, not a curated record.